RNAcentral lists this transfer RNA (72 nucleotides) under Gasterosteus aculeatus (three-spined stickleback). It matches the Rfam family "tRNA". Rfam says of the family: Transfer RNA (tRNA) molecules are approximately 80 nucleotides in length. Their secondary structure includes four short double-helical elements and three loops (D, anti-codon, and T loops). Lineage: Eukaryota; Metazoa; Chordata; Actinopteri; Perciformes; Gasterosteidae. The record is from Rfam by way of RNAcentral.
GACUCUGUGGCGCAACGGUAGCGCGUCUGACUCCAGAUCAGAAGGCUGCGUGUUCAAAUCACGUCAGUUUCA